UACAGAGGGGGCAAGCGUUGUUCGGAAUUACUGGGCGUAAAGGGCGCGUAGGCGGCCUUCUAAGUCGAACGUGAAAUCCCCGGGCUCAACCCGGGAACUGCGUCCGAGACUGGAAGGCUCGAAUCCGGGAGAGGGAUGUGGGAUUCCAGGUGUAGCGGUGAAAUGCGUAGAUAUCUGGAGGAACAUCGGUGGCGAAGGCGGCAUCCUGGACCGGUAUUGACGCUGAGGCGCGAAAGCCAGGGGAGCAAACGGG
RNAcentral lists this ribosomal RNA (253 nucleotides) under uncultured bacterium. Its description in RNAcentral is "partial 16S ribosomal RNA". It matches the Rfam family "Bacterial small subunit ribosomal RNA", at positions 524 to 776 of the family's 1533-position model. The record is from RNAcentral.